This 1354-nucleotide long non-coding RNA is filed under the name Musa acuminata (dwarf banana). RNAcentral's name for it is "long non-coding RNA (MACU_LNC006084)". The record is from RNAcentral. Lineage: Eukaryota; Viridiplantae; Streptophyta; Magnoliopsida; Zingiberales; Musaceae.
CUUGCAGUUUUUCUGAAAUUGAAAAGGAAUUUUUUACAGGUUUCAAAGAAUGAAAUCAUAACCAUAAAGUUUAAUUCACCUCAGAAUCUCGCAUAUAACUAUAAGCCCAGGUAGAAACCUGUUCGAGAAUAACAACAGAUCUUACAAAAUCCUAAAGGCUUAGUAGAAUAAGGUGCUCAAAACAGCAAAUAUGAAAGCUUCAGGAAGCCACUUGCUCCUGUAUGACAAAAAAAAGGUAAUUAUAAUUGGAUAAAGAAGGAAACAUUAAGGAAAUACCAUGGCAUAAACCCUCCGAUUCAAAGUCCGGGGAGGAAAUUUUUUUUCAGUAUUGUCCCUUGAUUUCACUAAAAAUGAAGCCUCUGCCACAGAACCAAAUUGCCAAAGAUUUGAAGAAUUUGGAUUGACAAAUCUAUGAUUCAAUAGCAUACAUCCUUCUGAUUUGAAGAAGCUUCAAACAGUCUGCAACCUUUGUUUCAUAAAAGACAAGAGUGAUGAUGCUACAUUAGCUUAUAUGGGAAAUAUUCAUCAAGAUUACCACUACCUAAGCAGCAAAAUAGCUGGUUGGGCACUUGAAAAAAAGAUGUAAUCAGCAAUGUGUAAAUUCUGAUUGGUAAACAUUCAGCAUCAAGAAUAACCCAGGGGCCUAUUUUAUUUGAUGCAAACCUAUCUCUAUCAUUUAACAACUUAAAACAAAAUUUGAAGGUAUCAACUAGCUUAGUUAGUAAAACCUUGACAUUAUACCGCAAGAUCCUGGACUCAAAUCCCGCAUUUGCCACUUACCCUUUGUAGAAAAAACAAACAUCAACAAAAUCUUCUGUCAGCUAGCAAUCUGGGACUACAUUGAAAAGAGUGUAUAGCACAGCAACUCACCAUACUCAUGCUGAGUAAUUAUAACUUAAUUUGCCUUCCCUGUAACUCCUAUCACAACUUUCUUAUUUAAGAUCAAAUUUCAUUAUGGAUUCCAAGAUCCUAGUUGUACCACCACCUAAACUGUCUCUUCAUAUAGUGCCUUUUUAUUCCUAGACCAGCUGAGUGGAUACAAAUAGUAUAUCAGCCCUCUGCUAUCACAUACCUGAUCCCCUUCUAAUCAGUGGAGUCAGCCUUAAUUGUUGGCCCUUGAGACACAUUUACGAGCUCAAUGAAAGAUGUCCCUCGCAAACCAGAAGAUUUAAGAUGUUAUAUCAUAUAUGUUAAUCACAAACAGGCAUAUCACUGGGCUCAGCUGCACCAAAUUUGAGUACUAACCUUUUCUCAAAAAAGCCCAGUUGACAAAGACAAAUAUCAAACUAUACCUGCAACCCUAUCUGUGAAAACAUAAGCACGCAAGUUGCAUCCUCGAUUGAGUCUAAGGGUG